AAAGGAACGCUAAUACCGCAUACGUCCUACGGGAGAAAGCAGGGGACCUUCGGGCCUUGCGCUAUCAAAUGAGCCUAGGUCGGAUUAGCUAGUUGGUGAGGUAAUGGCUCACCAAGGCGACGAUCCGUAACUGGUCUGAAAGGAUGAUCAGUCACACUGGAACUGAGACACGGUCCAGACUCCUACGGGAGGCAGCAGUGGGGAAUAUUGGACAAUGGGCGAAAGCCUGAUCCAGCCAUGCCGCGUGUGUGAAGAAGGUCUUCGGAUUGUAAAGCACUUUAAGUUGGGAGGAAGGGCAUUAACCUAAUACGUUAGUGUUUUGACGUUACCGACAGAAUAAGCACCGGCUAACUCUGUGCCAGCAGCCGCGGUAAUACAGAGGGUGCAAGCGUUAAUCGGAAUUACUGGGCGUAAAGCGCGCGUAGGUGGUUCGUUAAGUUGGAUGUGAAAGCCCCGGGCUCAACCUGGGAACUGCAUUCAAAACUGACGAGCUAGAGUAUGGUAGAGGGUGGUGGAAUUUCCUGUGUAGCGGUGAAA
This 537-nucleotide ribosomal RNA is filed under the name Pseudomonas corrugata. RNAcentral's name for it is "bacterial SSU rRNA". It matches the Rfam family "Bacterial small subunit ribosomal RNA", at positions 154 to 686 of the family's 1533-position model. Lineage: Bacteria; Pseudomonadati; Pseudomonadota; Gammaproteobacteria; Pseudomonadales; Pseudomonadaceae. The record is from RNAcentral.